RNAcentral lists this long non-coding RNA (1433 nucleotides) under Anser cygnoides (Swan goose). RNAcentral's name for it is "lncRNA (ENSACDG00005004461.1)". Lineage: Eukaryota; Metazoa; Chordata; Aves; Anseriformes; Anatidae. The record is from RNAcentral.
AUGGGCCGCUUGGACGACCACGCCAAGAGAAGGAUCGUGGAGCUGCGCAGGGCGGGGCUGAGUUUCCGCAAAAUCAAGAAGGUGCUGGAGCUGGACAACAUCCGAGUGACACCGCAGGCCGUGUAUCUCUUCCUCAAGAGGAAGAGUGUGGAGCUGGGGCCAGCAGCGGGUGGCUGGGGUGAAGAGCAGCCCUGGCCCCCACUGCAGGGGCACGAGGCUGAGCUACACCAGUCUCCAGGCCCCCGGCCCCCCACAUUGCCCAGUGUGGCUCCCGCUGGCGGCCAGGAUGGCAAGGAGGGCACCCAGAUCGUCAGCGUGGCCUCGUUCUGCCAGGGCAGCAGGCAGCCAGGGGGGGCCCUGCCUGUGGGACUGCCUCCUGGGAAGGGUGACAGCGGUUCCACGGGUGCCCUCCCGGCUCUGGGGAGCUGCCAAAUACCAGGGACCCCAUCUGCCCCCACACAGCCGCUGCCUGUCCAAGGGCGGCUCGUCGUGCCCCCUGCCAAGAACCCAGCCCUGGUGGCAAAGAAGAUGAUCGUGGACAGGGCUCUUCUCCCGCAGAACGAGGUCAAAGAUGCCAGCACACAGACCACCCCACUGAACCCCACGAGCCCUGGAAAUCAACACCUUGCUUGGGGCGAAGCAGUGCUUCCUCCUGCUCCUGGUUCCCACACCGCUGCCGAGAAGCUCGACGCUGUACACGCAGAGAUCCAGAAGCUGAGCCAGGCGCUGCACGCGGUGCUGGAGAGGCAGUGCCGCCUGGAGCGCCAGCAGGAGCACCAGCAGCGACUGCAGCAGGAGAUGCUGAUGAUGCUGCAGCAGCUGAGCUCCACCGUGAGCCACGGCGCUGUGCCAGCCAACCAGCCCUGUGUCCCCUUCAGCAGCGUGGCAGAGCCCUCGCCCACCGUGCCAAACUUCAGCCAGUUCAAGAUGGAGCUCAUCUGACCCCCACGUGAUGCCAAGGUGCUCUACCAGGGCUGCCCCGUCCGCAGGGCAGGCCAGCACUGCCAGAGGAUGAGGUCCUGAAGCCUUCAGAGGCUGUGGCAGCUGCCUGAGGGCCACGUGGGGUGUCCAGCAGAGAAGGUCAUUGCUGCUUCCCUAUUGCUCUGCCUCAGCCUUGUUGAUUGAAAGGGGUUGCUGGGCACAAGAAGGAAGGGAAAGCUUGUGUCUCCCAUGCUGCCCCUCCUGGCUGGCCUUGGAGCUGACCAGUCCAUCCACGGACUGUAGCAGCUCGCGUGGGCUGCAAGUAGAAGAUGCAGCUGGGAGGGACACAGCAGGGUGGUGGUCUCGAGGUGAGGCUUCCUCUCAGGAGGGUCAGUGUUGUGACAAUCAUAGGAACACUCCCCCUGCAGGGUCUUGUUCAGUAAAAGGCUAUGGUUGAGAAACAUAGUUGAGAAAGCGUGGGAUCUUAUUCUUCGUUUUAUCUCCCUCACCCU